UGUCUUUGUCUUUCUCACUUACAUUUUUUUAAUUUUCCGUUUUGCUAUGGCAUAAACAACUAGCAUAUAUUAUACAGUUAUAAAGGGCAACAAAGUUUUUCUUACUAACCAUGCCCUAUAAACAGAAUCACUAACUAAACCACAACUUAAACCAGCUGAACAUGUCUUAAUCCAUACCAUUCAAAUUCAAACCAAAUCAAAAACGUCCUCAAUUUUCUACACGUUUUAACAUGCCAACGAAAAUCCACAAAACAUUUUGAACUAAAAAUGAACGGAAAAAACAAAAAGAGGACUUACAGGCGUCCUGACAACAACUCGCAGCUUUCUAUCAGCUUCAUUUCUAGGUGAAUAAGCCCCAAAAACCAGCUGCCUUGGCCGCCACCGCACCAAAAACCAGCUUUCUAUCAGCUUCAUUUCAGUGAUUUUUCAAAGAACCCACCAGCUGAUUCCAAUCCCAUUCUUUAUUUUCCUUUCUAUUUCCUCUAAUUUCCAGUUUAAAAAGAGAAGAAUAAAAAAAAUGGAAGUCCAGAUGGAUACAUAGAUGAUAAAAAAAACCCAAUUUUUUAUAUAGAAAAAAGGAUUGAAUCGUUUCUAUAGUUUAUAAAUUAAAACCAUGCAACAAAAACCCACCAAAACAAAAGAAAUUGGAUGAACAGAAAAGCCAAAUUCGACCCAAAACUUAGAUUAUAAAGAAGAAAAAUGAUGCAACGAAGAAGGAUAAAAAAAUCAAGAAAUAGAUAGAGAGAGAAACUGGUUUUCUUAGAGAGAGAAACAUCAAGAGAGAGAGUUUUGGUCUGAGGACAAAAGCACUGUGUUUCUUUCUUUCUCCAAAUGGGAGGCUUUCUUCCCCUUUUUAGGUUUGUUUCUUUUAUGGGACUGUGGCAUGGAUACACUGUACAGUGGC
RNAcentral lists this long non-coding RNA (904 nucleotides) under Theobroma cacao (cacao). RNAcentral describes it as "long non-coding RNA (TCAC_LNC005150)". The record is from RNAcentral. Lineage: Eukaryota; Viridiplantae; Streptophyta; Magnoliopsida; Malvales; Malvaceae.